Molecule: ribosomal RNA, 512 nt
Filed under: uncultured bacterium
Lineage: Bacteria
Description: partial 16S ribosomal RNA
Rfam family: Bacterial small subunit ribosomal RNA
Source: RNAcentral
GAUGAACGCUGGCGGCGUGCCUAAUACAUGCAAGUCGAGCGAAUGACGAGGAGCUUGCUCCUCUGAUUUAGCGGCGGACGGGUGAGUAACACGUGGGUAACCUGCCUGUAAGAUGGGGAUAACUCCGGGAAACCGGGGCUAAUACCGAAUAAUAAAAGAGGAAGCAUUUCCUCUUUUUGAAAGUUGGUUUCGGCUAACACUUACAGAUGGGCCCGCGGCGCAUUAGCUAGUUGGUGAGGUAACGGCUCACCAAGGCGACGAUGCGUAGCCGACCUGGGAGGGUGAUCGGCCACACUGGGACUGAGACACGGCCCAGACUCCUACGGGAGGCAGCAGUAGGGAAUCUUCGGCAAUGGGCGAAAGCCUGACCGAGCAACGCCGCGUGAGCGAGGAAGGCCUUCGGGUCGUAAAGCUCUGUUGUCAGGGAAGAACAAGUACGAGAGUAACUGCUCGUACCUUGACGGUACCUGACCAGAAAGCCACGGCUAACUACGUGCCAGCCGCCGCCGUAA